RNAcentral lists this ribosomal RNA (492 nucleotides) under uncultured bacterium. RNAcentral's name for it is "partial 16S ribosomal RNA". It matches the Rfam family "Bacterial small subunit ribosomal RNA", at positions 29 to 507 of the family's 1533-position model. The record is from RNAcentral.
AGUGAACGCUGGCGGUAGGCCUAACACAUGCAAGUCGAACGGCAGCACAGUAAGAGCUUGCUCUUACGGGUGGCGAGUGGCGGACGGGUGAGGAAUACAUCGGAAUCUACUUUUUCGUGGGGGAUAACGUGGGGAAACUUACGCUAAUACCGCAUACGACCUACGGGUGAAAGCAGGGGAUCUUCGGACCUUGCCCGAUUGAAUGAGCCGAUGCCGGAUUAGCUAGUUGGCGGGGUAAAGGCCCACCAAGGCGACGAUCCGUAGCUGGUCUGAGAGGAUGAUCAGCCACACUGGAACUGAGACACGGUCCAGACUCCUACGGGAGGCAGCAGUGGGGAAUAUUGGACAAUGGGCGCAAGCCUGAUCCAGCCAUACCGCGUGGGUGAAGAAGGCCUUCGGGUUGUAAAGCCCUUUUGUUGGGAAAGAAAAGCAGCAGGUUAAUACCCCGCUGUUCUGACGGUACCCAAAGAAUAAGCACCGGCUAACUUCGUG